UACGGAGGAUGCAAGCGUUAUCCGGAUUUAUUGGGUUUAAAGGGUGCGCAGGUUGUUUGAUAAGUCAGUGGUGAAAGUCUGUCGCUUAACGGUAGGAUUGCCAUUGAUACUGUUGGACUUGAAUAUGGAUGAGGUAGGCGGAAUGUGUAGUGUAGCGGUGAAAUGCAUAGAUAUUACACAGAACACCGAUUGCGAAGGCAGCUUACUAAUCCAUCAUUGACGCUGAGGAACGAAAGCGUGGGGAUCAAACAGGA
This 254-nucleotide ribosomal RNA is filed under the name uncultured prokaryote. RNAcentral's name for it is "partial 16S ribosomal RNA". It matches the Rfam family "Bacterial small subunit ribosomal RNA", at positions 524 to 777 of the family's 1533-position model. The record is from RNAcentral.